RNAcentral lists this long non-coding RNA (612 nucleotides) under Homo sapiens (human). RNAcentral's name for it is "PREDICTED lncRNA (TCONS_00046588)". Lineage: Eukaryota; Metazoa; Chordata; Mammalia; Primates; Hominidae. The record is from RNAcentral.
CUGACAUCCUGGAACAAGGACCGUCUAAUGCCCGUGAGGAGAGGAUGAGACUGGGCUUCGUAUUCUUAACAUUCAUUCCCAGGAAAUCUGCUCUCCACUGGAACAGUCUUCAUGGAGGUUUGCUGGGGGAACUUCCUUAUCUUUUUCUCAACCGGAAAAGCUGUAGGUGGAGGUGAAUGUGUAUGUGUGUAUGUGUGUGUGUGGUGGUUGUUGGGGAUAGCCUCCAUGUGAUUUCAAGGGGAUGGGGUCUGUUUGUGUGUGUGUCGGGGAGACUUGAGAUAGAGGGUUGUUCCUGGCUGCCUUCCACACUGUGGGCAGGUGGAGGUGUGGCUGGGCAUGAGUAGUGCAGUAUAAAGCCAGCAAAAGUGGAUUUCUCAGGGUGGAAAUAAUAAUCCUUGACUCUAGGAAGCCUGGCUCACCUGCAAACUGCAUUCUCAGCACAGGGGAGGGCAGGAUGCUGCCACAGACCCAGGGAUUUUGCCCUCUUACCUGACCCAUCAGUGAAGGGUAGGGGCAGCACCUGUAUUGUGGGGAGCGUCAGUGUAUGUGUCUCUUUGUGUGGGCAGCAUGUCUGUGUGGGUGUGUGUGUGGGGGGCAUCAUGUCUGUGUGUG